This 506-nucleotide ribosomal RNA is filed under the name uncultured bacterium. RNAcentral describes it as "partial 16S ribosomal RNA". It matches the Rfam family "Bacterial small subunit ribosomal RNA", at positions 29 to 523 of the family's 1533-position model. The record is from RNAcentral.
AGUGAACGCUGGCGGUAGGCCUAACACAUGCAAGUCGAACGGCAGCACAGGAGAGCUUGCUCUCUGGGUGGCGAGUGGCAGACGGGUGAGGAAUACAUCGGAAUCUACUCUGUCGUGGGGGAUAACGUAGGGAAACUUACGCUAAUACCGCAUACGACCUACGGGUGAAAGCAGGGGACCUUCGGGCCUUGCGCGAUUGAAUGAGCCGAUGUCGGAUUAGCUAGUUGGCGGGGUAAAGGCCCACCAAGGCGACGAUCCGUAGCUGGUCUGAGAGGAUGAUCAGCCACACUGGAAAUGAGACACGGUCCAGACUCCUACGGGAGGCAGCAGUGGGGAAUAUUGGACAGUGGGCGCAAGCCUGAUCCAGCCAUACCGCGUGGGUGAAGAAGGCCUUCGGGUUGUAAAGCCCUUUUGUUGGGAAAGAAAUCCAGCUGGCUAAUACCCGGUUGGGAUGACGGUACCCAAAGAAUAAGCACCGGCUAACUUCGUGCCAGCCGCCGCAGUAA